GGUUAAGCGACUAAGCGUACACGGUGGAUGCCCUGGCAGUCAGAGGCGAUGAAGGACGUGCUAAUCUGCGAAAAGCGCCGGCGAGGUGAUAUGAACCUUUGACCCGGCGAUGUCCGAAUGGGGAAACCCAGUGCAAUUCGUUGCACUAUCGUUAACUGAAUACAUAGGUUAACGAGGCGAACCGGGGGAACUGAAACAUCUAAGUACCCCGAGGAAAAGAAAUCAACCGAGAUUCCCCCAGUAGCGGCGAGCGAACGGGGAGCAGCCCAGAGUCUGAAUCAGCUUGUGUGUUAGUGGAAGCGUCUGGAAAGUCGCACGGUACAGGGUGACAGUCCCGUACACGAAAGCACACAGGUUGUGAACUCGAAGAGUAGGGCGGGACACGUGGUAUCCUGUCUGAAUAUGGGGGGACCAUCCUCCAAGGCUAAAUACUCCUGACUGACCGAUAGUGAACCAGUACCGUGAGGGAAAGGCGAAAAGAACCCCGGCGAGGGGAGUGAAAAAGAACCUGAAACCGUGUACGUACAAGCAGUGGGAGCACCUUCGUGGUGUGACUGCGUACCUUUUGUAUAAUGGGUCAGCGACUUAUAUUCUGUAGCAAGGUUAACCGUAUAGGGGAGCCGAAGGGAAACCGAGUCUUAACUGGGCGUUAAGUUGCAGGGUAUAGACCCGAAACCCGGUGAUCUAGCCAUGGGCAGGUUGAAGGUUGGGUAACACUAACUGGAGGACCGAACCGACUAAUGUUGAAAAAUUAGCGGACGGGGGUAGAGCACUGUUUCGGCUAGGGGGCCAUCCCGGCUUACCAACCCGAUGCAAACUACGAAUACCGAAGAAUGUUAUCACGGGAGACACACGGCGGGUGCUAACGUCCGUCGUGAAGAGGGAAACAACCCAGACCGCCAGCUAAGGUCCCAAAGUCAUGGUUAAGUGGGAAACGAUGUGGGAAGGCACAGACAGCCAGGAUGUUGGCUUAGAAGCAGCCAUCAUUUAAAGAAAGCGUAAUAGCUCACUGGUCGAGUCGGCCUGCGCGGAAGAUGUAACGGGGCUAAACCAUGCACCGAAGCUGCGGCAGCGACGCGUAUGCGUUGUUGGGUAGGGGAGCGUUCUGUAAGCCGUUGAAGGUGUGCUGUGAGGCAUGCUGGAGGUAUCAGAAGUGCGAAUGCUGACAUAAGUAACGAUAAAGCGGGUGAAAAGCCCGCUCGCCGGAAGACCAAGGGUUCCUGUCCAACGUUAAUCGGGGCAGGGUGAGUCGACCCCUAAGGCGAGGCCGAAAGGCGUAGUCGAUGGGAAACAGGUUAAUAUUCCUGUACUUGGUGUUACUGCGAAGGGGGGACGGAGAAGGCUAUGUUAGCCGGGCGACGGUUGUCCCGGUUUAAGCAUGUAGGCGGAGGUUCCAGGUAAAUCCGGUACCUUUUAACGCUGAGGUGUGAUGACGAGGCACUACGGUGCUGAAGUAACAAAUGCCCUGCUUCCAGGAAAAGCCUCUAAGCAUCAGGUAACACGAAAUCGUACCCCAAACCGACACAGGUGGUCAGGUAGAGAAUACCAAGGCGCUUGAGAGAACUCGGGUGAAGGAACUAGGCAAAAUGGUGCCGUAACUUCGGGAGAAGGCACGCUGAUAUGUAGGUGAAGCCCCUGCGGGUGGAGCUGAAAUCAGUCGAAGAUACCAGCUGGCUGCAACUGUUUAUUAAAAACACAGCACUGUGCAAACACGAAAGUGGACGUAUACGGUGUGACGCCUGCCCGGUGCCGGAAGGUUAAUUGAUGGGGUUAGCGGCAACGCGAAGCUCUUGAUCGAAGCCCCGGUAAACGGCGGCCGUAACUAUAACGGUCCUAAGGUAGCGAAAUUCCUUGUCGGGUAAGUUCCGACCUGCACGAAUGGCGUAAUGAUGGCCAGGCUGUCUCCACCCGAGACUCAGUGAAAUUGAACUCGCUGUGAAGAUGCAGUGUACCCGCGGCAAGACGGAAAGACCCCGUGAACCUUUACUAUAGCUUGACACUGAACACUGGUCCUUGAUGUGUAGGAUAGGUGGGAGGCUUUGAAGCGUGGACGCCAGUCUGCGUGGAGCCGUCCUUGAAAUACCACCCUUUAAUGGCUGGUGUUCUAACGUAGACCCGUAAUCCGGGUUGCGGACAGUGUCUGGUGGGUAGUUUGACUGGGGCGGUCUCCUCCCAAAGAGUAACGGAGGAGCACGAAGGUUAGCUAAUCCUGGUCGGACAUCAGGAGGUUAGUGCAAUGGCAUAAGCUAGCUUGACUGCGAGAGUGACGGCUCGAGCAGGUGCGAAAGCAGGUCAUAGUGAUCCGGUGGUUCUGAAUGGAAGGGCCAUCGCUCAACGGAUAAAAGGUACUCCGGGGAUAACAGGCUGAUACCGCCCAAGAGUUCAUAUGAACGUCGUGAGACAGUUCGGUCCCUAUCUGCCGUGGGCGCUGGAGAAUUGAGGGGGGCUGCUCCUAGUACGAGAGGACCGGAGUGGACGCAUCACUGGUGUUCGGGUUGUCAUGCCAAUGGCACUGCCCGGUAGCUAAAUGCGGAAAAGAUAAGUGCUGAAAGCAUCUAAGCACGAAACUUGCCCCGAGAUGAGUUCUCCCUGACCCUUUAAGGGUCCUGAAGGAACGUUGAAGACGACGACGUUGAUAGGUCGGGUGUGUAAGCGCAGCGAUGCGUUGAGCUAACCGAUACUAAUGAACCGUGAGGCUUAACCUU
Molecule: ribosomal RNA, 2705 nt
Filed under: Enterobacter asburiae
Lineage: Bacteria; Pseudomonadati; Pseudomonadota; Gammaproteobacteria; Enterobacterales; Enterobacteriaceae
Description: 23S ribosomal RNA
Rfam family: Bacterial large subunit ribosomal RNA
Source: RNAcentral